GGUAAUGCCGGAUGCUCCAGUUGAUCGCAUGGUCUUCUGGGAAAGCUUUCGCGGUAUGGGAUGGGGUCGCGUCCUAUCAGCUUGACGGCGGGGUAACGGCCCACCGUGGCUUCGACGGGUAGCCGGCCUGAGAGGGCGACCGGCCACAUUGGGACUGAGAUACGGCCCAGACUCCUACGGGAGGCAGCAGUGGGGAAUAUUGCACAAUGGGCGCAAGCCUGAUGCAGCGACGCCGCGUGAGGGAUGGAGGCCUUCGGGUUGUAAACCUCUUUUAUCGGGGAGCAAGCGAGAGUGAGUUUACCCGUUGAAUAAGCACCGGCUAACUACGUGCCAGCAGCCGCGGUAAUACGUAGGGUGCAAGCGUUAUCCGGAAUUAUUGGGCGUAAAGGGCUCGUAGGCGGUUCGUCGCGUCCGGUGUGAAAGUCCAUCGCUUAACGGUGGAUCCGCGCCGGGUACGGGCGGGCUUGAGUGCGGUAGGGGAGACUGGAAUUCCCGGUGUAACGGUGGAAUGUGUAGAUAUCGGAAAAGAAACACCA
This 536-nucleotide ribosomal RNA is filed under the name Bifidobacterium longum subsp. suillum. RNAcentral's name for it is "bacterial SSU rRNA". It matches the Rfam family "Bacterial small subunit ribosomal RNA", at positions 162 to 711 of the family's 1533-position model. The record is from RNAcentral. Lineage: Bacteria; Bacillati; Actinomycetota; Actinomycetes; Bifidobacteriales; Bifidobacteriaceae.